AAACUAAAAUAUAUAUAAAUAUAGAAAGGAAUAAAUAAACAUAUAUGUGUCUAUUUUUAAUAAAGUAAAGAAUGUAUAAAAAACUAUAAUAAGGAAAUCGCUCUUGCUCCGCGUUGACUGUGAUACACGUAGACGUCCAGCGGGGGCGCUGUAGGUUUAUUUACUUCCGGCGGUUGCUCACGUGACGCCCCGCCCAUCCCCAUACGUCACCGCCAGCACUGGGUCUUAUGAAAGUCCGCUGCUCUCAGACCAGCUGUGUGUGUUUUAUAAAUGUCCGUCUACAGGAACGCGGUUUGGUUCGUGAAAGGCCUGCAGGAGUACAGAAAAGUGGCUAUGAAGCAGCAGCUCAGCGUUUCUGUGCCUCAGACCUGGAGGUGGAUCUCAGUGGGAGGUCCUUCAUGAUCACAGGAGCCAACAGCGGCAUCGGGAAGAGGGCGGCGCUGGAGGUCUCUGCCAGAGGAGGAACCGUUCACAUGGUUUGCAGAAACGAGAGCCGAGCUGAAGCCGCCAGACAAGACAUCGUGGAACAAAGUAAAAACCAGAACGUCCACGUCCACAUCGUCGACUUGUCCAACGCCCGACGAGUCUGGGAGUUCGCCCAGAGCUUCACUCAGAGCAACAGCCUUCACGUGCUGAUCAACAACGCCGGCUGUAUGGUGAACCAGAGGGAGCUCACUGAGGACGGGCUGGAGAAGAACUUCGCCACGAAUACACUCGGUACCUUCAUCCUCACCACGGCGCUGAUUCCGUCCCUCAAGAGGGUUGAAGACCCGAGAGUGGUCACCGUGUCGUCGGGUGGGAUGCUCACGCAGAAGCUGAACGUGGACGACCUCCAGUUUGAGAAGGGAGCGUUUGACGGCACGGCGGCCUACGCUCAGAACAAAAGACAGCAGGUGAUCCUGACAGACAGGUGGGCCUCUCAGCACAAAGAGAUCCACUUCUCCUCCAUGCACCCCGGCUGGGCAGACACUCCAGCCGUGCAGACCUCCAUGCCUGCCUUCCACGCUAAGAUGCAGUCCAGGCUGAGGACGGAGGCCAUGGGCGCCGACACCGUCGUGUGGCUCGCCGCCUCGGCCGCCGCCAGGGAGCAGCCGAGCGGACUCUUCUUCCAGGGUCAGGAACCAAUCACAGCGCUCGCUUCUCUGACUUGUCAUCAUCGCUGCUCUUCAUCAGGAAGUCACAGUGGAACCUUUUCUCUUAGUCAACAUGGGGACGGACUGGAAAUAUGUUAAUGUUCUAGUUAGUUAACGCUGACUAGCAGGUUUUAUUGGCUUUGCUCCAGAGAGGACGACUGACCGUAGAGCCGUGGCGGCUCACCUCCCUCUGGCCUCCUCCAGGUCGUCCCCGCAGGAGGAGGAGAAGCUCCUGGCUGCUCUGGAGGAGU
Cyclopterus lumpus (lumpfish) is the source of this 1384-nucleotide RNA transcript. It is a transcript of the gene named dehydrogenase/reductase (SDR family) member 12, with no coding region annotated. The transcript is spliced from 10 exons. The record is from RefSeq and is a predicted model, not a curated record. Lineage: Eukaryota; Metazoa; Chordata; Actinopteri; Perciformes; Cyclopteridae.